RNAcentral lists this long non-coding RNA (3931 nucleotides) under Gossypium barbadense (sea-island cotton). RNAcentral describes it as "long non-coding RNA (GBAR_LNC005674)". Lineage: Eukaryota; Viridiplantae; Streptophyta; Magnoliopsida; Malvales; Malvaceae. The record is from RNAcentral.
UUUAACUUUACUCAUUUUUUUUCCACUUUCAUUUUGUCAGUUAGUGCUGCUGCCUUCCUUCCUUUUUUCCCAUUUUCAAAACCCAAAUCCCUAGCUCACACCACCUCCACCAAUCCACCGAUCCAUUGAUCCAGUGUCUGUUGGCCACCUCCAGCUAGCCUCAAGCUCAGCUCAACUUCUUCAUUUUUGUUUCUUCAUUUGCAGUCUCGGUAGCCAAUCUCGGUGCUCCCAAAGUUUGGUCCUUACUAAGGCUCCCCAUAGGCCCAUACUACUGGCUGCUGCUGUGCCUUUAUCACAGAAAGCCCCUUCUUCACAGUAAGUUUCUUUUUCUUCUUCUUUACUGCUGCAUCUUCUUCUUGCAGGUUUUUGACAGUGCAAAAUUAAUACAAAAAUGAAACGUGUAUGGAAUAGUUAAAUUAUUUAUAUCAUUUAUGUCACAUAGACUCAAAUAUAAAGUUAAAUUAUUUUACAUAUUUAAAUCAUAUUCUCAUAUUCAUCAUGAUAGUAAGGACUAGUUUUCCUGGUUUUAAGUUUAAUUAUGUUUGGUUAGUAGGUGGUAUUAAGUUUGAUAUGUUUUCUGUUAACUACCUAAUUACAAUUACCAUUAAUUUAAUUGCCUUAGAUUAUUUAAUUUCAACCACUGAAACCAAGCAUCAUCAAUGCUACUUAAUUAUAUAAACUAUCUUAGAGUUUAAAUUAAUUUUUAUUACAAUAAUUAAUUUGGUUAACUCUGAAAAUAAAGAAAAAUUAUAACUUACAUUUUGCAUGCAUUUUGAUGUUUUAUUAUUAUUAUUAUUUAAUGGAGUGUUUGACGAAAUUGAUUUGUCACGUAAUUUUUUCCGUUAGGAUACAUUAGUAGAUUUGUGAGUGAAAUGUCCUUCAUCAUGAUAUCGAUGUUUUCCUUUUCUUUUUCAAUUAAAAAAAAUCCAAUCAUAUGGGAAUUUAGUAAAUCUUCUAAUUAAGCUUCAAUUUAACUAAGGAGCAUUCCAAAGGAUAAGUGUAUUUGCUGGAUUAUGCUAUACUCAACCUCUACUUAAUCUUAUAACCAAUGUAAUGAUACUUAUUAUUAUAAUAAUAAUGCAUGUGGAAUUGUGGAUUAAUUUACUCCUGUCGAUGCAUGCUUCUAUUCUGUUUCUGUAUUUACUAUAUUUUAAUAGUAUUUUAAUUUUUAAAUCAACAUUCAAAAUUUUUUUAAAUAAAAUUCCAAAACAUAAAAUUUUAAUUUAGAACUAAAUAAGUUAGUAAACUUUAAUUUAUAUUUAAAUAAAAAGCUUUAAAUUAAAUUGUCUUCGUAUGAAAAUUAUAAAUUGUAUUAUAAUUAUCAGAUAUUUUUAGUAUGAAAAUUAAUUAUCUUUUGGUCUAUUUGGAUUUCAGGACUUAAUUUUUAUGACUAUGGCUAGUUCGAACGUCCUAUACCUGUGGAUGAUGAGUUUAAUGAGUAUGAAAGUGCUCCUAAAUGUCAAAAGUCUACCACUUCAAUGGUGUGAGAUGAAAUGACAAAGCUUGAAUGCGAGAAUAAAAAUGAAUUGAAUGCACAAUGUAAUCACUGUAAGACUAUCUUCUCUGCUAAAUCUUCUAGUGGAACUUCUCAUUUAAGACGUCAUCUAAAUAGUUGUUUGAAAAAAGUUAAUAAGGACAUCACUCAAUACACCAUAGCCACUCAACCAUCAUUAGGAGGUGUUCCAUUUAUAAAAAACUACAAGUUUGAUGCUGAUAAGUGUCGUCAAGCUGUUUCUACUUUUCUUGUGUAUAGCAAGCAUGCAUUUAGGACAGUUAAAGAACCGGGAUUUAGAUACAUGAUGAGAAUUUCUAGUCCUAAUUUUAAGAAUAUAAGUAGAUAUACAGCUGCUAGGGAUGUCCUAAUGUAUUAUGCAAAAGAGGGAGAUCUGUUGAAGAAAAGUUGGCUAAAGCUCCUGGUUUAAUUUGUCUAACUUCCGAUAAUUGGAACUCGGAGCAUACUAAUGAUGAAUAUAUUUGUAUUACUACUCAUUGGGUUGACAAAUAUUGGAAGCUACAAAAGAGAAUCAUAAGGUUUAGAGCUUUAUUUCCUCCGUAUGAUGGUUUGAACAUAGCGGAUGAACUUGUUUUAUGUUUAUCUCAAUGGGGUAUAGACAAGAAAAUUUUUAGCAUCACUUUGGAUAAUGCUUCUUAUAAUGAUAUUAUGGUUUCUUGUCUUAAAAAUCAUUUUCGUGCAAACCGAGCUAUUUUGUGUGAUGGUGCUUUUUUUCAAGUUAGAUGUUGCGCACAUAUAUUGAAUCUUAUAGUUAAAGCUGGUUUGGAACUUGCUGAUGAUGUUGUUGGUAAGAUUCGAAAUGGAAUUAAGUACAUAAAAAAGUUGAGAAUUCAUAGGAAAAGAUUUUAUGAUGUGGCCGACAAAAGUUUUCAUUUGAAUGUAACCAAAAAGUUGCGUCAAGAUGUGUGUGUGGGAUGGAAUUCUACUUAUUUGAUGCUUAAAUCUUCUCUUUACUAUAAAGAUGUGCUAGAUUAUUGGGGCCAACGAGAUAAAGAUUAUCAAAUAUUUGUACUUUCUAACGAGGAGUACAGAAAUGUUGCUAUUCUUUGCAAAUUUUUGAAAGUUUUUUAUGAUGUGACUUGUGUUUUUUCUGGUUCUAAUUAUCCAACGGCUAAUCUUUAUUUUAGAGGGGUUUGGAAGGUUCAUAAGCUCUUGCUUGAUACAGUUAAAGGUCCUCAUUCGUUUUUAACUCCAAUGGUUAAGCAAAUGCAAGAGAAAUUUAAUAAAUAGUGGGCUGAGUAUUCAUUGAUAUUGUCAUGUGCUGCAAUUUUAGAUCCUCGUUACAAGUUGAAUUAUGUGCAGUAUUGCUUUACUACAAUCUAUGGUAUUCAUGCUUCAGAUUUUGUUGAAACCAUUCUUAGCAAUCUUAGACUCUUGUUUGACGAGUAUGUUAAGAGAUCUAAAUCCACGUCUUCCUCUUUGGCUAAGAGUUCUAAUGUUUCAGAUAAAAAUCUUGUUGAUUCUAGUUUGGAUAAACACAAUGUUAAUAGUGUUGAUUUUGGUUUUGGGGGAGAUUUUGAUGAGAGUGAUGACUAUAAACGGUAUUUAAAUGAAUCUAGCACUAUGAGUGAAAAGUCACAGUUGGACAUUUAUUUGGAAGAACCGACACUUGAGUUGAAUAGUCAAAUAGAUGUUUUGGAUUAUUGGAGCAAAAGUUCAGAUUGAUAUAAUGAGCUUUCAUUAUUGGUUCGUGAUCUUUUGGCAAUUCCAAUAUCGACUGUAGCUUCCGAAUCGGCUUUUAGCAUGGGUAAGAAAGUUAUCACACCUUUGAGGAGUUCACUUAAGCCAAAAAUGGUUCAAGCCAUUGUUUGCUUGGAUGAUUGGAUGCGAGCUAAGGGACUUUCAACAGGUAAUUAUUACUCUCGUUUUAUUGUUGUAAUUUUAUAUUAUUUUUUAUCAAUUUGAUUAUCUAAUUAUUUGUUCUUAUUUCAUGUUAGAAAUUUGUUACAAGAAUGAUGAUGACGAUGAGGAUGAUGAGGACGAUGAGGAUGAUGUUUCUUUGAUUACUUUUUAGGCUACCUUCCUUUCUAAUUGUUGACAAUUUAAUUUAGCUUAUAAUUUAUAGUUUGUUAUAAAAUUAAAUAUAUUGAUUGGUUAAUGUGUAGAUAUUCUGGUUGGUUGAUUAUAUUUUGCAGGUUUUUGGUGUUGUUGGUGAUGCUGUUCUCACUACUGUUGUAUGGUGCUGUUUUUUUGUGCUGUUUUGUUGCUAUUUUGGAGCUGUUUUGGAGCUAUUUUGAUGCUAUCUUGGUGUUGUUUUAGUGCUACUUUUGUAGUGUUUUAUUGUUCUUUUGCAGCUAUUUAUUAUGUUAUCUGUUGUCGUUUUUAAUAUUAUUUCGAUAUUGUAAAACUUUUAUUUUAUUAUUAAUUUGGUUAUUAUUUUAGUUCUAAUUUGUUUCAAUUUUAAUAUGACCACUUUUU